AUAAAAUUUAAUUUUUAUUUAAAAAAUUUAUUUUGUAAUUAUAAUAUAAAUGAAAUUUUAAAAGAAAUAAAUUAUUUUAAUAAUAAAAUUUUUAAGAUAUAAAAAUAAUAUUUAUAUUAAUUAAAUUUAUGUAAGUAAAAAAUAGUAAUUUAUAAGAAUGAUAAUAAAUUUAGUGCCAGCAAUUGCGGUUAUACUAAGAUUGAAAAUAAAUUAUUUAUAAUUUAGAAUUAGAUAUAAAAAUUAAAAAUUUUUUUAAUAGUUAAAUUUUAUUUUAUAUGGUGAAAUAUUAAAAUUAAAUAAAAAUUAUAUGAGAAAAUUAAUUUAAGUUAAAUUUAAAAAAUUAAAUAGAUAAAUUAGGAUUAGAUACCCUAUUAUAUUAAUUAAAUUAGUGGAAUUAGAGAUUAAAGGUAAUAAUAGAAGAAAUUUAAAUAAUUUGGCGGUAUUUUAAAUAGUUAGAGGAAUUUGUUAAGUAAUUGAUAAUCCACGGUAGGAGGGGCCUAAUAAGAUUUUAUUUUAUAUAUUGUUGUUUAAAAAUUAUUUUAAAAGAAGCUAUAUAAUUAGAAAAUUUUAUUAAAAUUAAAAUUCAAAUCAAAAUGUAGAAUUAUUAGGAAGAUAAUGAAUUACAUUUUAUUAAAAUAAAAUGAUAUUAUAGUUUUAAUGAUUAUAAUAAAAGAGGAUUUAAUAGUAAAUUUAUUAAAUUUGAUAAGUUGAAAUUUAAAUAAAAUAUGUACAAAUUGCCCGUCAUUUUCAUAAGUUAAUGUAAGUGAAAAAAGUCGUAACAAAGUAAAUGUAUAGGAAUAUGUAUUUAGAUUAGA
This 815-nucleotide non-coding RNA is filed under the name Cardiocondyla obscurior. Lineage: Eukaryota; Metazoa; Arthropoda; Insecta; Hymenoptera; Formicidae. The record is from RNAcentral.